GGCAAUGAAGUAAAGUCACUCCCACAAGGCCUUAAUAGGGAAGAAGGUUCAAAGCUAAUGGAGACAUAAAAUAUCGAUAGUGAUUACAUAUAGGUUGACAAGUACAGGCUGGAGCAUACAUAAACUUCAACAUAUUCAAAAAUAUUAACAUCAAGGGAACGCAUUAUCAUCCAACAUCAGCUGUUUAUGAUGUACAGUAUUUAAGUCAAGAGAUAAAACUCUUCCAAGUUGUUUCUAAAUGACAAAAAGUUGAAUUGGCACACCAGAAGGCUUAAUUGAGAAAAUAUAAGACCUAAUCAGGAACCAAAAUUUGUGUUUACACUGUUCCAUACCCUCAGGCUCAGGUAUUAUACAUACAAGCAGAGAUAAGGACCAACUUUGCACUGAAUGAAAAAACAAAUAGUAACGAUAAUGCUGAGAAAGAAAGUUCUUUGGAAAACACUAUCUCCUGCUCUUUUUAGUCUUCAAUCGCUUGUAGGCCAUAAAUGUAACAGCAGCUGAUAGAGAAUACCUGUAAGAAAAUGAUUUUUUGAUUAAAACUAGUGUACAAAAUACUGUUCAUUCACAAAGUGUCCAAAUUCUAGUCCAAAUCCAAACACUCAAAAAUGCUCGUGAACCAACACAAAAUUCAAGCAAAGAAAACGAAAAGACAAGAAAUGAGAGUGCAAACAAGGAAGCAAAUUAUGCAUAAAUAUGCAAGCAUAAUAUUUGGGUAAACAAGUUGGCAUACCAUGUCAACGUAUAAUUCAGGUGAUCCUGUGGCAUAACCGAACUGCGAAUUAAAGUAUUGACAUCCUUUGGGAGAGGGUAAGGUUUACUUGGAUCAAUGUUAUCAUGGAUAUCUUCAAUAUAAACAGUAUUUUCUGGCAGUCCACAAGCACGUGCAAUCAUUGGAACAUCAACAUAGAACCACUGACCAGAGCUGGGAUCAUUUGCUGGAACAAAAAUACUUGGCUUCUCACUCUCACGGAUUACACCUAUAACUUUCUCAGGAGUAGUUACAGGACCCUGAUCCUGUUAUAUUGAAACUUAAGGUUAGAACUAUCUAGUAUUUGACUUACCUGAUAUACAGAUACCAUACAUUGAUUUAAGAAAAAACCUUUCUGGCUUUAGCUUGUCUGGACCAAAACUUCCACCAAGUGCUCCCUUCAUUUUCUCCAGCAUGGGGGGAUUCCGGAGCUGAAUGUUGUUUGUCAUCUUGAGAGUUUUCCAGAAACUUGUCUCGCCAGCUACGUGGGACCCAACCUCUAUUAACUAGAAUUGGUGCCUGUACACUGACAUAAAAUUUCUUAAUAAAUUGCCAUCUGAAGAAAGAUAGAAGCCUAACUAUAUAAUACAAUAAUUCUGUGAAAAGUAGAAAAAUUAUAGGAAGUAGAAAACACAUUUAUACGACUAAUUAUGGGAAGUAGAAAAAUCCAUCAGAAAUGAAGAAUUCAACUUCAAAAUUCAUACAUCCCAGGAUCCCAGGAUCCCAGUCCCCAGGAGCCAUUGAACAUAGGCAGAGCAGAAGUGAACUAAAAAUGAAACAAAACUAGAAAUAACCACUAUUCCAAGCAAUUUUGUAUAUUGUAAAGUUUUAUAGUCUGCAAAAAUAAUUUGAAAGACACUGAGUGUACAGAGGACAUCUCUAGCAACAAGUACCUAAGGCAGCUGCACGGCAACAUUACUACAGUCCAUCAAGUAAAUAUGUGUCAUAAUGAUCACAGUAGGAAUUUACCUUGCAGGGUUGUCAGGCACAGGCAUGAGUGGUGUGAUGACAUAGUAACCAUUCUCAGUCACCCCGGAAAUGCUUCUAGAACGAGGACCCACAUAAAUUGACCUACUGUCAUUGAAGACCCCUUCACAUAACACCCUCCUAAAUUCCAAUGGACCUGGCUCUUCAUUGAGAGAAGAUGAUAUGCUAGUCAGAUUAAGAGGCUCCAGUCCCAACCUACUUCUCCUAAAUUCCAGCAUUUCAAUCUAUAUAAACAAAAACAAAGAAGUAUUAAAAAUAUAAGAAAAAUAAGUAGAACAUAAUUAAGGAUACAUAGGUACUAAAGAAGUAAAGAUAAAAAACUCUAUCUAUCUACAAACACCGUAUUCAAUCCGAAAAAAAAAAUAAAAAAAAAAUCAUUAGACAAAAAUGGUUACUUUAACAGUUUAACAACAAGAACCUUAAUCCCUAAAACUCUAAAGAUAACACACAUAAGAACAGAUUUGUAUCUAAAGCUUACCUUGUCUUGCCUUCUUACAAUCUGCCAAGUUCCAAGGCCAAAAGUGAUAGCUCCAGGAAGAAAAAGCAACCAUCUUGAUAAACCCCCACCCUCUCUUCCUAGUUAAAUCAACAAAAAUCAACAUUACAUUUCUUCAUACAUGUACAAUAAUAACUUAUCAAACACCAUUACACAGGAGACAGAGAGAGAGAGAGAGAGAGAGAGAGAGAGAGAGAGAGAGAAACCUUGAACUUCUGAUGGCAAAGGUAAUGGAGAUUCUGCAAUUGUGGAGAGAGAUCGUUGGGAACUGAGAAGUGGAGAUGUGAAUGAAGAAUUAAGUUUACAGAUUCUGUAAUUUUGAUUUGCGAAGAGAGAAGAAGAAGUUCGAAGGUUUAGGGUUUUAGAGAUUGAAUCGAGAAAUCUGGUAGAAGGUGACAUUUGAAACUUGAAAGAGGUGUUCGAAGACUGCAAAGCAACUCAGCAAGCAAAGUGGAAGAAGAGGGGGUUUAUAAAGUCACCUGGUUUCACCCCACUUUCUGUUCGUAUGCGCCCCUUUUUUUGCUUUUGAGCACCACCUAGUUCUUAAGGGCACCCACAACAAAAUUCUGACAUUCUUGCUUCAUGAGGGCGCCUCGUUUUUGCUUUUGAGCACCAUCAUCUUCCACAGAAAUCCUUUGGAAUUUUGGGGGCAGCUUCACGUCCUUUUUAUUUUUCGUUACGUUAGCGAGUUGCAGUUGUAAUAGGGUUUAAGUGUUUAACAAAAUGAUUCUUAGAAACAUAUUUCAAAUUUAGACCUUUGUACAACUCAAAACCUGAUGAUUUCAAACAUUAAGCCAGAAAUUAGUUUACAAAUUGUUAUUACCAGUGUUUGACAAGAUAUACAAAUAUAUAACAAUUUACAAAGACAAAAUGGAGCUUGAAAUUUAUCAAAGGGCCCCUUGGAAAAGAAAAACAAUACAUAUUACAGUUCAUUGUAAAAAUGAAUUUGAUCUGUUGAGUCGCAUCUUCCAGUUAUUUCCAUGAGACUAUGACUAAGCUUCAACUGCAUUAAUCUCUCUUCUGCUCCAUAGAGAUAAUCGAAUCAGAAUUGCUAAUCAAUGUAGAACAUUCCAAAAACUCAGGUCUUUGUUGUAAGACGACGCCUCAAACAAAAUCUCUCAAAUAGACUUGUACGAAUUUCUUUUCUUUUGAUGGAAGCAUGCACAGCCAGUAGAACUUCUGAUGGAAGCGCAGAAUGAAAUUAAUUGUGUCCCUGGUAGAACAAUAGAUUGGCAAGGUCAAAUCAUGCUGCAUGCACAUCCAUAAUUUACUUCAGUCAUCUAAAUAAACCUAAUGUGCAUGGUGUGUAGUUUGCAGCUGUAUGAAAACCCAGAGUAAUAAAGGCAUAUAAGAUGCAGAUAAUUUAUAGAAUGGAGGCCAUAUCGCAAUAAGGCAGGUCUAGAAAAUGGCUUUCUUAACUAUCCAUAAAAAAACCGUAUUUUGUCAACAUCAGAUCAUGCUACCAUGCAAGUCAACACUAUAUCAACUGAUGCUUAACUACUAUAUGUAGAACUGCAGCAUAGAGAUACAUUAGAUGCAGGUAUACAUAAUUUGGGACCAUAAAUCACACUGCUUCGUCAGUAGGGAUUAUCAUUUAUCAAUUUGCUUCAACAGGAUACCAGGCCUUUCUCUUCGUCUAGAAACAAAAGUAUACUCAUGUCUAGUAUCGUCCAGCUGAUGUAUCCUUUGGUUUUAUGCAUAGUACACCAUCAGAUGAUGAUCUGAGUGGAUGGCCGAUGAGAAAUAUGCCUUUAAUUAUCAGUGUUUUUUUAACUCUAUCUAUGGUAUUACAUUAAUGUUUAUGUACACCCUAACCCAUAUCUCAACAAACUUUAGUUACAACUCAGUUUGUUUCGAAAUCAGCAUGUUUUCUGAGAUAAAAUUAAUAAAUGUUGCUGAUUAAAAUAGUUUUUUCAACCUAGAGAGGGGGAGUUCCUUUAUACAUUCUGUAGAACUCAAAUAAUCAAUAAUAACAUCAGAAGCAAUCGAUCAUAAGGUCUAAACAACCUCAAGGUCCAAAUCAUGGUUCUGUGGAUUUCGAAGUAAUUUAGCCUCUACAAGGUAUAAGUGUCCAAUGUGGAGGUCUAUCAAGCACAUAAUGUUGGGGAUCACACUGAAAUAGAAUGUGUAUCGUUGGUUUUGCGGACAACAAGCAGGCCUAAAUAGUAUUUUCAAAUGUUCAACAUAAUGGAUUGUCCAUAUGCACUAUGACUUUUAUUAUUAGAAAAAUGGGCAUCUUAAUUAAUGUUCCUUUCAACAAUUUUUCUGGAGUAAACAGAACAAAAGUAAAGCAUUUUACCAAAACGAGUACCUUCAUUUCUUUUGCAAUGGAUGGCAGCCACUUUUCUCGUCUCUACUAAUCUUUACAAGCUCUGUCACUCUUUCUUGGCAACAAGACUAGCUAAUGUUUUCCGGGAUGCAUCUCUUGUUGGGCCCAUUACAUCUCCCUGGAGCUGAUGUCUGAAAUGGAACCCAUUCACCAUCGGAAUUAGACAUCAUAAAUGUUAAUAUAAGGACUAUAGAAUGGGAAUACGCAUCACUAAUUAUUUUCAUUUGUGAUUAGGUAGCACAUCACCAAAAACAAAUCCUAGAACAAAGAAAACCUUCUAUGAUUUCUCAUUAACCAAUUCUCUGGGAAGAAUCUUUAGCUUCUUUCUUGGUUGCUGAUGUUAAUCAGACAAAAGAUAAUAUAAUGUUUAUGUUUAUGACCAACACGCUAAAAUUCAUAUAAAAAAAAAAACAAACCAAAAACACAUCUUAUAUCCAUAUAAAAACUAAUAAUUAAAAACAACAGAAAUGUAGAACAAGCAAAUACCAGCAAGAAGAGGCAGCAACAUACUACAGCUAUGUACCUGAAUGCUUUUUGGGUCAAUUGAAACCAAUGCAAUAAGUCAGUGACUUCAUUUAAAUGCUGAACAAUAGCACAAUCAACGCCUUGAGCUACUAUCGGCACACCUUUGUUGUGCUUUUCCGCCUCUUGAUUAGCCCAUGCAUCAAAGCAAUAUAGGUGGAGCUCUUUACCGUAAUACCUCCCCGCACCAUUUCCUCUAAAAUGCAUCUUGCUUCUCUGAACUUUCCUUCAUUACACAAGUCUUCAAUACGCUUUGAAUAAACCACAGAGUUCAAAUCAAAGUCCUGCUGCGGAGAUUUCUUAGGUGCCAUCUCAAUAUUUUCCAAAGUUUCUGCUCCUUCAGUAUUGUCUUCAUCUAGUGCAGCAAUUGAUGACAAAUCCGGUAAUUUUCCAAUUUCAGCCAUCUUAGUAACAAAUUCUUGAGCUUCUUCAGUCCUACCAGCCUCUGUAAGUCCACAAAGAAAAGCAUUGUACGUAAAAUGAUCAGGCUUAAAAUUUCUUUCUUGCAUUUCUGUUAAAAGCUCCAGUGCAGCUUCUAUGUUUCCUUCUCUGCACAGACCUGUUAUCAGUGUAUUGUAAGUGACGGCAUCAACUGAUUUCCCUUUCGAAACCCAUACGUUGAACAGCUUAAGCGCCUUGUCUACCAUCUUCUCAUUGCACAUACCAUGAAGAAGAAUGUUACAUGUUUUGGUAUCCAGUUUAAAUGAGUUCGAAACCAUUGUGUUGUAGAAAUGAAAUGCUUUGUCCACCUCUCUCUCCCAGCAGUAUCCAUGAAUCAGGGUAUUGUAGGUAGUUUCAUCUGGCACCAAACCCCUCUCCAAAAGCUCAUUCAACUUGGCCAUCACCUGGUCAGUCUUGCCCGACUUGCAGAGGCCUGCAAUGACUGAAUUGUACGUACUAAUACUUGGCAGGAUCUGUUUCUUCUUCAUCUCAUCCCAAAGUUUCAAAGCCCUGUCGGCAUCCUCAUUCUUAAAGUACCCCAUAAUUAAGGUACCAUAACUAACUUCAUCAGGGUCAUAACCCCUCUUCGAGGCACUACAAAGCAACUCAUAUGCCUCGUCAAGUUUUUUCUCAUUACAGAGAGCAUGAAGAAUAGUGUUAAGGGUGAAAGUAUCCAUCUUCAAGCGUUUCCGAAGCAUGUCAUCCAUUGUCUUGAAGGCUGCACCCAUGUUCCCAACUUUGCAGUACCCACUAAUCAAAGUAUUGUAAGUGACAGAAUCUGGAGAAACCCCCGUUUCUUCCAUCUUCCUGAUAAAGUCACUCGCUUCUUGCAUAUUUCCUUUUUUAGACAACCCCUUGACCAUUAUAUUAUAAGUAACCGCAUUCGGCUUCACACCCUUCUUACUCAUUUCCUCAAAUACCUUGAAUCCAUCAGAACUAUUUUUAAAAUUAAAACACCCGUUAAUCAAUGUGUUAUAAGUAACAACAUCAGGUAACACCUUCAUAUUUUCCAUCUCAUCACGAAGCUUAAAAGCCUCUUCUAUCUUACUCUCUUUACACAAUCCACUUAUCAACAUGUUAUAAGUCCAAAUAUCUGGCAAAAUAUUAGUCUGAGUCAUCAAAUCAAUUGUUCGCGCAGCCUCCUUCAACCACCCCAUCCUACAAUACCCACACACCAAAGUAUUAUACGUAUUCCUAUUUGGCGUAAGUCCUUUACCUUUCAUAUCAACAAGCAAAUUUCUAGCUUCUUUCAACAAACCCUUUUUACAAAAAGCAUCUAACAUUGUAUUAUAAGUAACAUUAUCAGGAUCACAUUGAAAUUCACUCAUUCUAUUCAAAAACUCCAUAGCUUCCUUAAACUUAUAUUUCAAACAACAACCAAAUAUCAAUAUAUUAAAAGUAAUAGUAUUUGGCGAAAACCCAAGUUUAACAGCAUCCUCAAAUAUUUCUUUCGACAUAGAAACUGAAUUAGGAGAUGGGUAUCUUACCAAACCAUUCAAAAGUGUAUUGCAAGUCAAGAAAUUUGGUCUAUGUCGCUCUCUCUUCAUCUUUUUAAAAAUCUGCACAGCAAGAUAUGGUUUUUGAGCAUGAACAUAACAAGUAAUAGCAGUAUCAAGAAGGGCUUUUGAAGGGAUAGGAUAAUUACGAGGUGGGUGAAUAAGACGGUCAUGAAGCAAAUGUUUAUCAUCUUGAGCAAUAAAGGAAAGAAGAAUAGAUUUAGUGUCUGUGAACUUUUUGAAACGAAUUAAAGGAGGGAGAAGAGAGAGAAGAGAAGGGAGAGAAGUAGAAGGGUUGGUGAAGUUAGGGAGAUGAGUUUGACACCAUUUGUAGAAAGAAAGAAGAGUGUUUGGAUCAGUUGAAAGAGAUGAAGAAGAGAUUAUUGAAGGAAUUAUAGAUGGAUUAAGAUGAGGAAUGCAUUCGACUAGAGUUUGAAAAGAAUUAGGAGAUGAUUUCAGCAAAUGUGUGAUGGUUUCAAUGAUUUUAGAUUGGGUUUUUGUUGAUGAUUGCAUUGUGUUUGUGGAAAUUUCUCUGAGAAGAAAAGAAGAAAGAACAGCUUCUUGUUAAAAACUUAAAACUGUGAACUCUUGUUGUUUUUGUUUUUUUUUUUUCUUGUGAAUUCAGCUUCAAGUGUGUAGGUUUCGGUGGUUAUGGACCUUUUUACCUUUUUAGCAUACAAGUAUGUGUGUUUUCCACUGGCGACGCUAAAGCGUUCGUAGCCCAACGGUUAGAAUGAUUGUCUUCCAAGCAAGAGACCCGGGUUCAAGUCUCAUACCAAAAGCUUCAGGAAAUUUUAUCUUUUUUAGCAGGAAGAGGUUUGUACUGUAUUCAAUUUCCUAGUACAAAUUAUAAUAUUUUCAGCACUACGCCACUACAUAUAUUAGCUGUGAUGCGGGGCAUGCAGACUGUGAACCCAAAGUAGUCUGAAAACAGAGUGCUUAUACAAGAAAAUUUGUCAUCUAUUUUUCUCUUCAAAAAUCGUAACUAUCGUACAAAUAUCAAAUAUCGAGGUACAGAAGGCUAAACAAUAGGCCAGGUGAAAAGUGAAAGAUUUUGACAAUAAUCUAUAUAGUCUUCAAUCUAUGAGUACACGGCUAAUUAGAAAGUCCUUGAGUAUAAGCACUGUUCCAUACCCUCAGGCUCAGGACCAACUUUGCACUCUGAAUGAAAAAGCAAAGAGUAACGAUAAUGCUGAGAAAGAAAGUUCUUUGGAAAGCACUAUUUCCUGCUCUUUUUAGUCUUCAAUCUCUUGUAGGCCAUAAAUGUAACAGCAGCUGACAGAGAAUACCUGUAAGAAAAUGAUUUUUUGAUUAAAACUAGUGUACAAAAUACUGUUCAUUCACAAAGUGUCCAAAUUCUAGUCCAAAUCCAAACACUCAAAAAUGCUCGUGAACCAACACAAAAUUCAAGCAAAGAAAACGACAAGACAAGAAAUGAGAGUGCAAACAAGGAAGCAAAUUAUGCAUAAAUAUGGAAGCAUAAUAUUUGGGUAAACAAGUUGGCAUACCAUGUCAACGUAUAAUUCAGGUGAUCCUGUGGCAUAACCGAACUGCGAAUUAAAGUAUUGACAUCCUUUGGGAGAGGGUAAGGUUUACUUGGAUCAAUGUUAUCAUGGAUAUCUUCAAUAUAAACAGUAUUUUCAGGCUGUCCACAAGCACGUGC
RNAcentral lists this long non-coding RNA (8682 nucleotides) under Aquilegia coerulea. RNAcentral describes it as "long non-coding RNA (ACOE_LNC001225)". The record is from RNAcentral. Lineage: Eukaryota; Viridiplantae; Streptophyta; Magnoliopsida; Ranunculales; Ranunculaceae.